UGCAAGUCGAACGGGCUUGGGGGGCUUGCUCUCCAGGUUAGUGGCGAACGGGUGAGUAGAACAUCGGAACGUACCCAGUCGUGGGGGAUAACGAGUCGAAAGAUUCGCUAAUACCGCAUACGACCUUAGGGAGAAAGCAGGGGAUCGCAAGACCUUGCGCGAUUGGAGCGGCCGAUGCCGGAUUAGCUAGUUGGUAGGGUAAAGGCCUACCAAGGCGACGAUCCGUAGCAGGUCUGAGAGGAUGAUCUGCCACACUGGGACUGAGACACGGCCCAGACUCCUACGGGAGGCAGCAGUGGGGAAUUUUGGACAAUGGGGGCAACCCUGAUCCAGCCAUUCCGCGUGGGUGAAGAAGGCCUUCGGGUUGUAAAGCCCUUUCGGCCGGAGCGAAACGGCAGGCUCUAACAUAGCCUGUUAAUGACGGUACCGGCAGAAGAAGCACCGGCUAACUACGUGCCAGCAGCCGCGGUAAUACGUAGGGUGCGAGCGUUAAUCGGAAUUACUGGGCGUAAAGCGUGCGCAGGCGGCUCUAUAAGACAGAUGUGAAAUCCCCGGGCUUAACUUGGGAACUGCAUUUGUGACUGUAUGGCUAGAGUGCGUCAGAGGGGGGUGGAAUUCCACGUGUAGCAGUGAAAUGCGUAGAGAUGUGGAGGAACACCGAUGGCGAAGGCAGCCCCCUGGGAUGACACUGACGCUCAUGCACGA
RNAcentral lists this ribosomal RNA (705 nucleotides) under uncultured bacterium. RNAcentral's name for it is "bacterial SSU rRNA". It matches the Rfam family "Bacterial small subunit ribosomal RNA", at positions 56 to 756 of the family's 1533-position model. The record is from RNAcentral.